AGCGAACGCUGGCGGCAUGCUUAACACAUGCAAGUCGCACGGGCAGCAAUGUCUGUGGCGGACGGGUGGGUAGCCCGUCGGAACGUGUCCUGAGGUGGGAGACAACCCCGGGACACGGAGGCUAAUACCGCAUAUGGGCUGAGGCCCAAAACGGCGGGGCGCCUUUGGAUCGGCGUGCGUCCGAUUAGGUGGUUGGUGGUGUAAAGGCCUGCCAAGGCUGGGAUCGGUAGCUGGUCUGUGAGGACGACCAGCCACACUGGGACUGAGGCACGGCCUAGUCUCCUACGGGAGGCAGCAGUGGGGAAUACUGGACAAGGGGCCAUAGCGUGAUCCAGCAACGCCGCGUGGGUGAAGAAGGUCUUCGGAUCGUACAGCCCUUUCGACCGGGACGAUGAUGACGGUACCCGUAGAAGAAGCCCCGGCUAACUUCGUG
Molecule: ribosomal RNA, 433 nt
Filed under: uncultured bacterium
Lineage: Bacteria
Description: partial 16S ribosomal RNA
Rfam family: Bacterial small subunit ribosomal RNA
Source: RNAcentral